Molecule: transfer RNA, 67 nt
Filed under: Sermylassa halensis
Lineage: Eukaryota; Metazoa; Arthropoda; Insecta; Coleoptera; Chrysomelidae
Also listed under: 1 other name
Description: tRNA-Ser
Source: RNAcentral
GAAAUAAGUAAUUCAAGAAUAAGCUUCUAACUUAAUUCUUAAGCAAUGAAAUUUUGUUUUUAUUUCU